GAUGAACGCUGGCGGCGUGCCUAAUACAUGCAAGCCGAGCGAACAGACGAGGAGCUUGCUCCUCUGACGUUAGCGGCGGACGGGUGAGUAACACGUGGAUAACCUACCUAUAAGACUGGGAUAACUUCGGGAAACCGGAGCUAAUACCGGAUAAUAUAUUGAACCGCAUGGUUCAAUAGUGAAAGACGGUUUUGCUGUCACUUAUAGAUGGAUCCGCGCCGCAUUAGCUAGUUGGUAAGGUAACGGCUUACCAAGGCAACGAUGCGUAGCCGACCUGAGAGGGUGAUCGGCCACACUGGAACUGAGAAACGGUCCAGACUCCUACGGGAGGCAGCAGUAGGGAAUCUUCCGCAAUGGGCGAAAGCCUGACGGAGCAACGCCGCGUGAGUGAUGAAGGUCUUCGGAUCGUAAAACUCUGUUAUUAGGGAAGAACAAAUGUGUAAGUAACUAUGCACGUCUUGACGGUACCAAUCAGAAAGCCACGGCUAACUACGUG
RNAcentral lists this ribosomal RNA (496 nucleotides) under uncultured bacterium. RNAcentral's name for it is "partial 16S ribosomal RNA". It matches the Rfam family "Bacterial small subunit ribosomal RNA", at positions 28 to 507 of the family's 1533-position model. The record is from RNAcentral.